This 497-nucleotide ribosomal RNA is filed under the name uncultured bacterium. Its description in RNAcentral is "partial 16S ribosomal RNA". It matches the Rfam family "Bacterial small subunit ribosomal RNA", at positions 28 to 507 of the family's 1533-position model. The record is from RNAcentral.
GAUGAACGCUGGCGGCGUGCCUAAUACAUGCAAGUCGAGCGAACGGACGAGAAGCUUGCUUUUCUGAUGUUAGCGGCGGACGGGUGAGUAACACGUGGAUAACCUACCUAUAAGACUGGGAUAACUUCGGGAAACCGGAGCUAAUACCGGAUAAUAUUUUGAACCGCAUGGUUCAAAAGUGAAAGACGGUCUUGCUGUCACUUAUAGAUGGAUCCGCGCUGCAUUAGCUAGUUGGUAAGGUAACGGCUUACCAAGGCAACGAUGCAUAGCCGACCUGAGAGGGUGAUCGGCCACACUGGAACUGAGACACGGUCCAGACUCCUACGGGAGGCAGCAGUAGGGAAUCUUCCGCAAUGGGCGAAAGCCUGACGGAGCAACGCCGCGUGAGUGAUGAAGGUCUUCGGAUCGUAAAACUCUGUUAUUAGGGAAGAACAAAUGUGUAAGUAACUGUGCACAUCUUGACGGUACCUAAUCAGAAAGCCACGGCUAGCUACGUG